Ceratitis capitata (Mediterranean fruit fly) is the source of this 1382-nucleotide long non-coding RNA. RefSeq lists it as uncharacterized. The transcript has 2 exons. The record is from RefSeq and is a predicted model, not a curated record. Lineage: Eukaryota; Metazoa; Arthropoda; Insecta; Diptera; Tephritidae.
AAUUAUUUUGAAAGCGAUCGGAAGGCUUCAUGCUCUCUGCCGAGGAGCGAUCGCAGUCAGAAAAAUAAAUUUUCUAUAAUUUUGUAUGUUGGUCGAACCAGAACUCGAACACUGCCAUUAUGGACCAUAUAUGCGGUAACAUUUUCCAAACGCCCCCGAUUAUGAAUCAAUUCAAAGAAACCUGGUUAGCGAAAAAAAAUUCACAAAACGGCUAAGUGACAAUGCUUAAGUUAAGUUCACGUAAAGAACGUAUAUGAAUACGUAUAUGAAUACGUUCUUUGGUAAGAAUAUUCAAAUACGUUCUUUGGUACGAUCAAACAAAUAUUACCAUUUCAAGCGUCUUUGGCUAUAGAAUUAUGCUUCAAACAUGAAAUAUCUGUUUUAAAUGUGGUUUCAAAAUUGCGCAACUACUGUGGCAACUGAACACACCCAAGGACUAAGUGCACAAAAAAAACGAAUUUGAAACUCAUCUGAUUUAUUGGAAAAAGGCAAUAGUUUUUAUGAUCGCUUAUGAGUAAAGAACAUGAACCACCUAUUGCAGCAGCAACACUGUGAGUGGGAAAUACAAGAAUUUGCCGACGGGAAGGCUGAUCUUUAUAUCGUGUAAGGCGCCUAAAAUCCAGUGGCUCCCAGGACAAUCCGAAACAACACCCGGAGCAAUAACCGUCCAGAAACUGUUCCACUAGGUUUUCCUCAUUGCGGUUUUUUGAGAAUUUGGCAAAUUCAAAAACAUUGAAAUAUGUUUUUGAGGAGUUUUUGUAACUCGCCUGGAAACUAAAGCUUAUUGAAUAAAUAUUGUUUAUUUUUUAUUUAUAUAGAUCAUAAUUUUAUUGUAAGAAGUUAUUAUUUAUAGACUUUCCUUCUGACAACAAAUCGAAAAAAAAAUAAUAUUUGCUCUACUAAGUAAAUAAUCAGGAAAAUAAGAUAGUAUGAAUCGUGCUAAAAACAAAAAUUCUUUGUUGAAAACAAUUUUUAAGCACAACCAAAUUUCAAUCCUUUUGGUCGCGAAUCAGUAAAACACAUGUCAGACACAUACUUACCGACUAUAUGAAACAUAUAAUUUUGUGAUUACGUCUACAAUUUAUUAUGAUUGUAAAAUUGCAACUCAUAGUAUUACAGAUUAAUAUUAAAAACUUCAUUUUUAAAGAUAUUAAUUCUAAUUAUUAUAUUAAUUCUGAUGAAGCUACUAUAACACUACUACAACUGUACGAUUUUUCAAAUGUUUUUUUUUUUUUUAAUGUUUAUGUUGUGUGUGAAUGUAGUGAGUAUGGGAAUUUUAAAUUAAAAUUCUGCGCUAAGUGCAACACAAGCUGACUGACAUAAGAUGAUACACACUAGUAUAUAGUUCAUUUCUAACUCAAUAAAACAUAUUUUAUCUUUUC